Molecule: unclassified non-coding RNA, 240 nt
Filed under: soil metagenome
Description: partial contains 5.8S ribosomal RNA, internal transcribed spacer 2, and large subunit ribosomal RNA
Source: RNAcentral
AACGCACGAGACCUGCGGACCUGCGGAAGGAUCAUUACCGAGUGAGGGUCCCCACGGGCCCGACCUCCCAACCCUAUGUUUACUGAACCUCUGUUGCUUCGGCGGACCCGCCUCACGGCCGCCGGAGGAUCGUCACAGAUCCUCUGGCCCGCGUCCGCCGACGGCCAACCUAAACUCUGUAUGAAUCGUGUCAUGAUGUCUAAGUACUAUGAUUAAAUUAAAAGCAAAACUUUUAACAAU